RNAcentral lists this non-coding RNA (29 nucleotides) under Rattus norvegicus (Norway rat). The record is from RNAcentral. Lineage: Eukaryota; Metazoa; Chordata; Mammalia; Rodentia; Muridae.
CCUGACUCUACCAGUGACAGGCACCUUGC